RNAcentral lists this unclassified non-coding RNA (165 nucleotides) under uncultured Venturiaceae. Its description in RNAcentral is "sequence contains ITS1". Lineage: Eukaryota; Fungi; Ascomycota; Dothideomycetes; Venturiales; Venturiaceae. The record is from RNAcentral.
CUGGGACCCAGGUUGGGUGCUUCGGCGCCCGCCCCCACCCUUUGCUUAGCCCCCGAAAUUUUACAAACCCGUCGGCCUUUGGCGCGCCCGCUUGACAGCGUGGUACGCCGGUCGGACAUCAAACCCUGAACAACAUUGCAGCCUGAAGUUAAAAGCAAAUAAUUA